This 4546-nucleotide long non-coding RNA is filed under the name Homo sapiens (human). RNAcentral's name for it is "non-protein coding LINC01033:14". Lineage: Eukaryota; Metazoa; Chordata; Mammalia; Primates; Hominidae. The record is from RNAcentral.
GCACAAAUUUGCUUGCUGGCAACCAUGUGAGAUGGGACUUUCUCCUCCUUGACUUUCGCCAUGAUUGUGAGGCCUUCCCAGCCAUGUGGAACUCUUCUUUCGUGGCAAUUUUCCCCCAGGAGGGAUUUCCCUGCAGUGGACCUCCUCCCCAGUGGUACCUUCAGCCAUCAGAACACCUCGCUUUAGAUCUGUGGGUCCCAAAUUUCAUCAAAUCCAAUGACCAUUUCUAUGAUCACUCAUUCUGGGGGCAGCCCUCUGGCAUGUAAUGAGCAGUCCUAUGGAGAGGCCCAUGUGACAGUAGCCAUGCGAGUGACACUGGAAGUGAAACCUGCAGCUCCAGUCAAGCCUUUAGAAGACUGCAGCCCUGGCUGACAGCUUGACAGCAAACUCAUGAGAGACUCUCAGCUUGAACAACUCAGCUAAACUGUUCCUGGGUUCCUGGUCCUCAAAAACUCUGGAAUUCUGUGAAGCACAUGACCUCAAGUCUUUGGAUAAAUGGAAACGCAGCUUAUGCCGGAAAGAUGGAAGGCUGGCUGUACUAAUAUCAGAAAUGGAAGAGGAGAGACAUCACUAGAGAUCCCAUGGAUAUUGAAAGGAUAAUAAAGGAGUAUUAUGAGCAUUGUUAUAUUUUAUGUCUCCUAUAAGCUGUAAAUUCCUACAUAGCAAGAAUUCUGUCUUACUCAUCCUUUAACAACUACUGUGUACCUUAUAAUGUUUCAUAAAAUAUUAUGAUUUGGUUUUAUUAUUCACAAAAGAAUGCUAUAAGAGGUGAAAAAUGGAGAGGCUAGAAAGCAUAAAAACAAGUUACAUCAGGUGGUAGAGCCUGGUUUAAGGGUCAAAGAUAAAAGAAGGGAAGGUUAAGGGCAGGGCUUUAGAGGGAGAGAGGAUAAACACAGUUUGAUUAAAUGGCUGAUUCAGCCGGGUGUGGCGGCUCAUGCGUAUAAUCCCAACACUUUGAAAGGCUGAGGCAGGAGGAUUGCUUGAGCCUAGGAGUUCAAGACCAGCCUGGGCAACAUGGAGAAAUCCUAUCUCUACCAAAAUACAAAUACAAAAACAAAAAUUAGCCAGGUGUGGUUAUAUACACCUGUAGUCCCAGCUGCUUGGGAGGCAGAGGUGGGAGGAUUGGUUAGGUCUAGGAAGUUGAGGCUGCAGUGACCUAUGAUUGCUCCACUGCACUCUAGCCUUGGUGACACAGAGAGAUCCUGUCUCAAAACAAAAACAAACAACAACAACAAAAAACAUAUAUAUAUAUAUAUGAGGUUUAUCCACAGUAAAGUUCAGUCUAGGGUUAAUAAAAGAUUCUAGGGUUCACUAAGACAAAGAGUAGUCGCAGUAGCAGAGCCUUGGGUGAAGCUAAGGUCCCCAGGAGAUCUGGGAUGUCUGUGAGGAACAGUGAGGCUUAGUCAUUCAGACAAGCCAGCAGAAGUGAAGUUUAGAGAAUGUGGAUGGGCCUCAGGCUCUAGACAUCAAAACAAACAGAUAGAAAAGGCAGAGUGUAGAAUCCAGACAGUGAGGCUCACAACAAGGUAUGCAAUUCUGCAUAAGCAGAUUUGAGGGGACACCAACUAUGGACUGAUGUAGAUAAAUAUUUCUGGUAAUUCCAGUUAGUGAUUCACUCUGAACUCACAUAGGAUAGUAUCUCUUCAAAGGCACUUGUGUUGUAAUUAAAUGCACACAUAAGACAUAAUGCUUAUUGAGCCCUUAGCAUGUACCACCCACUCUUAUGCAUACUAUAUGUUUAAACCAUUUAAACUCACACCAACCCCCUGGGGGUAGGUAGUAUUAUUAUCCCUGUUACAGAUAAGGAAAGUGAGAAGUAGGAGUUAAUUGGUCUCAUGAUCCCCUACAGGCUGGCCUUCCAGAAAAAGGAGGUAACUUGCCCCAGGAUACCCUGGAAACCAAUCAGAAUGAAUUGCCUUAAACUCUGGCUUGUAGCCCAAAGCAAGGCUUGCCCACAAGUCUUGCCAGUAUGUGGUUGAACAGAAAUUAGAAUCCAGACAGCCUGAGUCCUUUUCUUGCCAGGCAGGGGCUGGGGCUUCCCCAACCAUGAAAGUUCAGGUGGUAGAUCCUGCCACUGCUUUGCACACCAGCUCCCUGGUGCUAACCUCAACUGCCAGUGCUGAGCUGGAAGGAUAGGGCUGGAGGCAAACUCCUACCCCAUCAUGUUGCUGGUGUAUUCCAUCCUGGUAUUGGUCACACCAAGGAAGGGCCUGGACUUUCCUAAUCAUGCAGCUUAAAAGCAACACAAGGCAAGGCGGGGAGUCCGCUCUCCUGAAGUCUGACAUCCAGGAAGACCAGAUUGCUAUGUGCUGUCUUUGACUUACUUGGAGACUCACACACCUACACUAGUGCCCCCUUAUCUGAGGGGGAUGCAUUCCAAGACCCCCAGUGGAUGCUUGAAACCAUAAAUAAUACCAAACCCUACAUAUACUAUGUUUUUUCAUAUAUAUACCUAUGAUAAAAUUUAAUUUAUAUAAUAGAUUAGGCAGAGACUAAUAACAAUAACUAAUAAUAAAAUAGAAGAAUUAUAACAACAUACUAUAAUAAAAGUUAACGUGAACAUUGUUUGUCUCAAAAUAUCUUAUUGUAUGUAAUAUUUUUGGACUGUGGUUGUUCAUAGCAAGUGAAAACUCAGAUGGGGGAGGGUGGCAUACUGUAUUUAUUUUCCUGUAUCCAUUAGUGUUUCCCAGUGAACACUGCACCAGGAGGUUGGCCAUUUGUCUUUAUUUAUACAUCAAACUAAGGCAUGGAGAAUAAGAGCUUGGUAAGGUCAUAUAGCCAGGAGGUGGUUGAACUGAGAUUCAAACUGAGACAGUCUGAGUCCAAAUUCUACCACCUCUUGUGUGUGACAUUUAAUGGAUAGGUGGGCUUUUGUAACCAGUGUCUCUGCCUUUCUCCAUGAUUCACAGCACAGAAACUUGUGCAUACAUUCUCACUUGAUAUCUGAAUGACUGUAACAGUGAUGUAAAUUAACAAGGAAGGGAGAUAGCCCUGAUUUAAUUGGAAAUCACUGACAGAGCUCGCCCAGUAAACUCUCUACAAACAGAAUACAAAUGUUUUGUAUUUAAUUGCUAAAGUGUUUUAAAAUUGAACUCAAAUUAAUAAAUACUUAUUGUAUCUGUCAGUUAAACGAAACAACCAAUAAACAACCAACUCUGUUUUCUAAUCAAGAGGGACUGAUCCUUUAAAAAAAAUAGGGUUUAAAAAAGAUGAUAUGAUCAAUGUAAAAUUGGAUUAUAGACUUUUAGAGUCUUAAAAGAUGAGAAAAGAGAUAAAGAUGAAUAGAUAUGGAGUAACUAGGAUAAGACUCUCUCACAAACUGGACCUUAAACAGAUUUAGGAAGAAAUAUAGGAUUAGGAUAGAGAAAAAGAAGAGAAAGAAUUGCCUAUAGGCAUAAUAAAAAGCACAAGUGUAUCAAUCAACACAGGGUAUUGUGGACCAGUGAGGAAGGAUCAUGAUCUAGACUAGGGGAUUCAUGUUGGAAACAGUGAGACAAGUUAGAAAGGAUAGGAUGGGACAUAUUAUAUGGUUCCAAACAUAAUAAAUGAGCACUUGAGCUAGAAAGUAGUAUAAUGUUCACAGGUGGUAAAGAGGUAUAAUGAAAAAACUAUACUUCACAAAAAUUAGUGGUGUUCAGUGGGUUGGAGAGAAGACCAAUUAGAAGGUUAUCUGUGGAAUUACAACAACCCAGUGAAUUGAGCUGAUGGAGAGAGAUGCUCCUCCCACUACCAACACUCAAACAUAAGGCAAAAAUAUUUAUAGGUGAUGAGUAAUGAUGAAAAAACAAAAGAACAAAUGAUAGAUGACAUGAAGAAUGGGAGUAGGGAAGACCAUAUUUAAGACUCUGAGGUCAUUAAAUGAUGUAACAUGUUUACUAGCCCAAAAAUAUAUACUAAAAGAGUAGAAAGAAAACAAAAAAUUUCCAAAUCAGUAGCAAGGAUCAAGAAAACAAUCCAAAUGGAAGGAAAGAACAAUGUCCCUUGGAACAUAACAAUAGAACAUAAUAUGAACAGUACCUCCUUCUAUGUAGUGUAGAUAUUAAACAUAGGGUGGGAAGUACACAUAUCAAUUUCAAAAUAGUGGUUUAAUCUGAAAUUGUUAAACAGAGAGGGAGGGAAGCAAUAGAACUGAGAGAGCGUUCAAAAGCCUUUUGUUGUAUCUGUAGAGUCUUUUAUUUCUUAAAAAUACAAUCGUAUACCACAUGAUAACAUUUUGGCCAAUGGACUACACAUAUGACAUGGUCCCAUAAGAUUAUAGUACUGUCUUUUUACUGUACCUUUUCUAUGUUUAGAUAUAUUUACAUAUACAAAUACCACUGUUAAAUUGCCUACAGUAUUCAGCACAGUAACAUGCUGUGCAGGAUUGUAGCCUAGGAGCAAUGGGCUACACCAUGUGGCCUAGGUGUGUCGUAGGCUCUACUAUUUUGGUUUGUAUAAGUACACUCUAUGAUGUUCACACAAUGAUGAAAUCACCUAACGAUGCAUUUCUCAGAAUAAGUUUCUGUUGUUAAGCAACCCAUGAUUGUAUCUGAAGCAAAUAUCUAUA